AUCAUUACGAAAUGUUGUAGUAUUGAAGCGCCCCACGGCGCUCCUACACUUCACCCUUUGCCUAUACGUACCUUAUAGCUUCCUCGGCAGGCUCGCCUGCCGCUAGGAACCAACCAAACCCUUUGCAUUAUACAUGAAAACUUCUGAUACAAACCUAAAUUAUCACAACUUUCAACAAUGGAUCUCUUGGUUCUGGCAUCGAUGAAGAACGCAGCGAAAUGCGAUAAGUAGUGUGAAUUGCAGAAUUCAGUGAAUCAUCGAAUCUUUGAACGCACAUUGCGCCCCUCGGUAUUCCGUGGGGCAUGCCUGUUCGAGCGUCAUUUACACCCUCAAGCUACGCUUGGUGUUGGGCGUCUGUCCCGCCUCUGUGCGCGGACUCGCCUCAAAGUCAUUGGCAGCGGUCUCGCCGGCUCCUCGCGCAGCACAUUUGCGCUUCUCGGAGAAAACGGUGGAUCCGCGCUCCAGCAAGACCUUUCAUGACUUGACCUCGGAUCAGGUAGGGAUACCCGCUGAACUUAAGCAUAUCAAUAAGCGGAGGAAAAGAAACCAACAGGGAUUGCCCUAGUAACGGCGAGUGAAGCGGCAACAGCUCAAAUUUGAAAUCUGGCCCUUUCAGGGUCCGAGUUGUAAUUUGCAGAGGGUGCUUUGGCGUUGGCGGCGGUCUAAGUUCCUUGGAACAGGACAUCGCAGAGGGUGAGAAUCCCGUAUGUGGUCGCAUGCCUUCGCCGUGUAAAGCCCCUUCGACGAGUCGAGUUGUUUGGGAAUGCAGCUCUAAAUGGGAGGUAAAUUUCUUCUAAAGCUAAAUACCGGCCAGAGACCGAUAGCGCACAAGUAGAGUGAUCGAAAGAUGAAAAGCACUUUGGAAAGAGAGUCAAACAGCACGUGAAAUUGUUGAAAGGGAAGCGCUUGCAGCCAGACUUGCCUGUAGUUGCUCACCUGGGCUUUUGCCCGGGGCACUCUUCUGCAGGCAGGCCAGCAUCAGUUUGGGCGGUCGGAUAAAGGCCUCUGACACGUACUUCCUUUCGGGGUUGACAUAUAGGGGAGGCGUAAUGCGACCAGCCUGGACUGAGGUCCGCGCAU
This 1080-nucleotide ribosomal RNA is filed under the name Dothideomycetes sp. genotype 191. RNAcentral's name for it is "eukaryotic LSU rRNA". The stretch from base 483 to 1080 matches the Rfam family "Eukaryotic large subunit ribosomal RNA", at positions 1 to 602 of the family's 3401-position model. The record is from RNAcentral. Lineage: Eukaryota; Fungi; Ascomycota; Dothideomycetes.